This 253-nucleotide ribosomal RNA is filed under the name uncultured bacterium. RNAcentral describes it as "partial 16S ribosomal RNA". It matches the Rfam family "Bacterial small subunit ribosomal RNA", at positions 524 to 776 of the family's 1533-position model. The record is from RNAcentral.
UACAGAGACCCCGAGCGUUAUCCGGAAUUAUUGGGCGUAAAGAGCGAGUAGCUGGUAGUGUUAGUCUGACGUUAAAUUCCGAGGCUCAACUUCGGAACCGCGUUGGAAACGGCACCACUAGAGUAGGUAAGAGGCAAGCGGAACGUGCAGUGUAGGGGUGAAAUCCAUUGAUAUUGCACGGAACACCAAAAGCGAAGGCAGCUUGCUAGUGCUUUACUGACAGUCAAUCGCGAAAGCGUGGGGAUCAAAAAGG